Molecule: transfer RNA, 84 nt
Filed under: Algisphaera agarilytica
Lineage: Bacteria; Pseudomonadati; Planctomycetota; Phycisphaerae; Phycisphaerales; Phycisphaeraceae
Also listed under: 1 other name
Rfam family: tRNA
About the family: Transfer RNA (tRNA) molecules are approximately 80 nucleotides in length. Their secondary structure includes four short double-helical elements and three loops (D, anti-codon, and T loops).
Source: Rfam by way of RNAcentral
GCCCAUAUGGCGGAAUUGGCAGACGCGCCGUCUUCAGGUGGCGGUUCCCGCAAGGGAGUGCAGGUUCGACUCCUGCUAUGGGCA